AACGCUAGCUACAGGCUUAACACAUGCAAGUCGAGGGGCAGCACGGGAGUAGCAAUACAACUGGUGGCGACCGGCGCACGGGUGAGUAACGCGUAUGCAACCUACCUAUCAGAGGGGAAUAACCCGGCGAAAGUCGGACUAAUACCGCAUAAAACAGGGGCACCGCAUGGUGAUAUUUGUUAAAGAAAUUCGCUGAUAGAUGGGCAUGCGUUCCAUUAGGUAGUUGGUGAGGUAACGGCUCACCAAGCCGACGAUGGAUAGGGGAACUGAGAGGUUGGUCCCCCACACUGGUACUGAGACACGGACCAGACUCCUACGGGAGGCAGCAAUGAGGAAUAUUGGUCAAUGGGCGGGAGCCUGAACCAGCCAAGUCGCGUGAAGGAAGAAGGAUCUAUGGUUCGUAAACUUCUUUUGCAGGGGAAUAAAGUGCGGGACGUGUCCUGUUUUGUAUGUACCCUGAGAAUAAGGAUCGGCUAACUCCGUGCCAGCAGCCGCGGUAAUACGGAGGAUCCGAGCGUUAUCCGGAUUUAUUGGGUUUAAAGGGUGCGUAGGUGGUUUGAUAAGUCAGCGGUGAAAGUUUGUCGCUCAACGAUAAAAUUGCCGUUGAUACUGGUUUACUUGAGUAUAGUUGAAGUAGGCGGAAUGCGUGGUGUAGCGGUGAAAUGCAUAGAUAUCACGAAGAACUCCGAUUG
RNAcentral lists this ribosomal RNA (692 nucleotides) under uncultured bacterium. RNAcentral's name for it is "bacterial SSU rRNA". It matches the Rfam family "Bacterial small subunit ribosomal RNA", at positions 32 to 715 of the family's 1533-position model. The record is from RNAcentral.